AUGAAGGUCAUGGAGAUGCACAGAAGCAGCGCCAGAGCCGCUAGGGUCGCCAUUCCCACCGGCGCCGCCAAGUUGAGCGCUUCGUAUCGUCGUCUCCUGCGCGCAUCCGUCCACUUCUUCGUUUCCCAGCUUUUGGCCCAGCUGGGUCUGUACAAGAGCAAGGAGGAGGCCGCCAGGCAAGAAGAGGUGCUGGGGAAGCUUGACAAGAUUGUGAAAGAGUGGGUUAAGGAGUUGGCUAUUCAGAGAGGCCAAGUCAACGCAAAUGUCGUGCUUUUCACCUUCAGGUCAUACCAUCUAGGGGUAAUGUACAUGCUUUGCGUUGCUUAUUUUGGAAUCAGCGCUGUUCUAGAGAAUAGGUAA
Molecule: ribosomal RNA, 360 nt
Filed under: Triticum aestivum (bread wheat)
Lineage: Eukaryota; Viridiplantae; Streptophyta; Magnoliopsida; Poales; Poaceae
Description: partial small subunit ribosomal RNA
Source: RNAcentral